Colius striatus (speckled mousebird) is the source of this 587-nucleotide long non-coding RNA. RefSeq lists it as uncharacterized. Lineage: Eukaryota; Metazoa; Chordata; Aves; Coliiformes; Coliidae. The record is from RefSeq and is a predicted model, not a curated record. The transcript has 3 exons.
CCUGGAAGAAUAACAACAAAAGGCAGCUAACACUGUGUAUGGAAUACAAACACUGAAAGAAAAGUGGUGAUGAAACUAGAACACAGAUCCAAAGGACAUGGAACAGAUUUGAAUUUCAUGGCACAAACUUCCCCUGACACUCAGAGACUCAGCCCUGAAUAUCAAGUACUUAAAAUUCAAGUAAUCAACAGGAAAAAAAAAAGGAACUAAGUUUCACACUUCUUUUCCUGUUGGAAAGUAAAAGUUAAGAAACAGAUGGUCUUUCGUCUUCUGCAUUAGAAGAUCAGGCCAUAUCCAGCUUGAAAAGCUUUACGGCAACCAUGGGACAGACUCUUCCAUGGGAGCCUGUUUAGCUCCCUAUGCUACUGUCUCUGGAAAAUUUUGUGUCACUUGCCUAGAGCAAAAGUAUGCUCUGAAGAAAGAACGUAUCUGCAGCCAUCUGCCUGGCUCCUGAGGGGCCUGGAUUUAUUUAGCUGAAGUUAAAUAGAAGAAGGGUAUCAGCAUGACUGGCUAACCAAAGCCAUUAUUUUGGAUUCUACUAUUAAGAGAUAGUAAUAUUAAUCUUUUCCACAAGAUUUGCCAAAUCU